RNA transcript from Lytechinus variegatus (green sea urchin), 3617 nucleotides. It is a transcript of the gene named U4/U6.U5 small nuclear ribonucleoprotein 27 kDa protein-like, with no coding region annotated. The record is from RefSeq and is a predicted model, not a curated record. The transcript is spliced from 8 exons. NCBI's taxonomy places the organism in Eukaryota, Metazoa, Echinodermata, Echinoidea, Temnopleuroida, Toxopneustidae.
GGCGAUAUUGCGAUCGAGUGUUUGAUCGUUGUUCGACUCUGAGGCCUAGCCCUAGGCCUAGAAUACUAGUUGCAGAAGGAUUUUCCGUGAAAAAUAAGAAUAUGGGUAGGAGCAGAAGUAGGUCUCGAUCACCGAGAAGGAGAGAGAGGAGACGUUCAAGGUCAUUUUCACCUAGAGAUAGAGAUCGAGGAGACAGAGACAGAGAUGUGGAUAGACGCAGGAGAUUUACAGAGAGACGUCGCUCAAGAUCAAGAUCACCUGUACGGAGGUAUAGGAGAUCAAGGUCAAGAUCAAGGUCGCCAAGGAGGAGAAGAUCCCGGACUCCAUCACCAAGGAGGAGAAGAAGGAGCGAAACACCGGAGAGACCUGGGCCUAGCAGAGGACGGAGUUAUGAACAGGAAAAGCCAGAAAUUGAUGAGAAAAAGUUGGAGGACAUGACAGAGGAUGAGAUUGAGAUGAUGAAAGUCAUGGGUUUUGCAGCAUUUGAUACCACCAAGGGUAAACGUUUGUUUAUGUUCACAGGGUAAACAUGUAGAUGGUGCAAGUAACGCAUUUGCAGCUAACAUACAAACAAAGAGGAAGUACAGGCAGUACAUGAACAGGAGAGGAGGCUUCAAUCGCCCUCUUGAUUUCAUCGCUUAGAUCCUCAUAAAUUCCUUUUUGAUGUUGGAGCAAGUAGAACUUUGUCACAUCUUUUAACACCAAGAGAACAUUGUCCUGUAUGCACAAACUGAGAGGUGUUGGUAACUUUAGGUUACAUUUUGGAAGCUGUUGCAUUCGUUUGGAUGACAUCCAUCUCAGGUUUGGUAGAGAGUUGUCACCUUUAUGGAGCAGUGUCCCUGUUUUAGGGGAGUUUGGAAUUGUGGAGUUGUGCAUCACAAAAAACUUUUAAUAAAAAUGAAAACCUGGACUUGCUUUCUGAUGAGAUGACAUCCAUCUUGGGAGGUUUUUUAAUUGCCAAUGUACAUGUAUAAGAGUAAUAUUGCUGCAAGUGUAACAGAACCUUGUAUCUUCCCCGAGUGUAAAGUUUAGUAGGAUGGAAUCAUGUGACUGCCUUAUAGUCUGACCUAACAUAUAUUAAUGACUUCAUGUCCUGGGAUUAGAGAACUUUUUAAGCAAAAAAGUGAGUUUUUCAUCAGCAAUGAAGAAACAAGGUUUUGUGAUUCAGCAGCAAUUGUUUUGUCACUGUGUUCUGUCUGCAUUAUUUGUCUUACAUAAGUAAUGUGUUACACCCUGUCUUUGCAUCUUUUAGUUCUUGAUGAAAAAAAAAAUACAGAGCAAGAAUCGAUGAUAUACUAUACAUGUAUAUACUGAAGGGUUGACUGAAUUUUCUUAACUGAUCAUGGCUGAAUGCAGUGGGAAGGGGGGGGGGGGGUCAGAACAUACUUGGUUGAUGUGACAUUUACAGCAUUAUGAUAAUCAGUCCUUUCCUAAAUUAUAAUUCAUUUAAUGUACAUAAUUCAAAUGUGUGUAAUGAUAUAUGUGUGUAAUAUGCUAAAAAACUGAGAAAAUACUGAAUUGAAAGAGAUGUAUGGCAUUGCAAAUUAAGAUGUAGAUGUAUAAUCGCAUCAGUGCAUGAGUACCUUAGCGCUGACCUAAUAUCCUUUGACAAUGACUCUACCAUAGUCAACUGUCUUGGGACCACACAAAUAUGUUCAACUCCACAAAAUUUGAUUUAGAAAAUGAUGCUUUUUCAUAUUCUGGUCCAAGAACAACAACAUUUGACCAUUCCAUGUUCUUGUAUAAAUUUGUUACCCAUUAGACCAGUUCGUAGUUCCAUUCUGUGCAUGAUCAGAAGAGGGUCAUUUGAUAUCAAGUGGCAUGGUGGUGUGAUAUUCAAUGAGAAAAGCACCAAGUUUAAUUUUUUGUUUAUUCAAUGAAUAAACAAAACAUUAUCUUGAAGUGUGCUCUUCAUUAGAUACACUGGAAAGCAAGAAUGCAUCCAUAAGCAACUAAGAAAGAGUUUGCCAAGUAGCAACAUGCUAAUGCAUUCAAAGUAGAAAUGCAACAAAUACCAUCAUAUAGUGGCGGCACCAAGAUUUUGAAACUGUGGAGGCAAGUGGGAACAAAAGAACUUUUUGGGGGACAAAGCCGGACACAACAUAUUUUGUCUGUUUCACAAAAUCGUGUGCGGAAUGCAAGCUAAAAUUUUUAAUGUAGGCCCUACUGACUUGAAAAGUGACCUGUUAAGCCUGUUCGCAGUGGGUCAUGAAGAUGAUAUCUCACCAAAUGAAUAAUGCGAACAAAGCGCGAGCUGAAAUUUUUUAAAUAUCCUGAGAUAAUAACUGGACUUUCUAAGCACUUUUUUUAAUCAUUAACAGAGUCUUACUAAAAAGAAUUUAUGUAAGCGCGUAGUUUCAACUGAAUAUGUAGGAUGUGUAUCUUGCUAAAAUAAUGAAAACUAAUCGCAAGAAGCAUAUUGACUCAAAACACUGGAUUUUCAAGCCUCAUGUUAUCCUAUCGAAGAGAUCAUUUAUUUAUCUAAUCAACAGCGACUGUUAUUAUGUUUUGGAGCACUUUACAGCUUAAGUAGGAUGCUUAUGACAGCAUUUACUAUAUUUUUUUCUGUUUUCUUUUUUUUGUGAGGGGGGGGCGAUGAUUAUGACUGGGGAGCAAAUGCCCCCCCCCCCCCCCUGGUGCUACCACUGCCUUCAUAAACUGUUCAGUGAUGUGCUAUUCUAGUCACCUGGUCUAUGCAAUCUCUGCAUCCUUAUACAGUAUGUCAGGCAUGCUUACCUAAUAUCUUAAUUGAAAUCUGCCUAUCCUAAUGAAAGGAAAGGUAAUUUUGAACAUACUUACAUGAGGUAUUUCUGAUAUUGGGCCCAUAACACAAAUCUUAGCAAUGAUGGUAGAACAUUUUCUAAAAUUGAUUGCAUUGACUACAUUGUACAAUCAAUCAUGAAAAUCAAGCAUACCAUUAAUUGAUAAUCAUUGUGUUACGGAGCCCUGGUCUAUUUUUUAUUGAUAAUUUUGACAACACACCCCUAUGGCAAACAGUGGUUUAUGUCCUAUUUUCAAUGAAAUUGUCCUCAUUUCCAUACAUAAAAUUAGGGGCUACGGUUAUUUGAAAAAAUAUCCUUGUUUAGAAAAUCUAAUAUCAAUAUUGGAUGUGAUCAUGUAGAACAAAGCUAUAUUGCAAAUUGCAUGUAAAUUUUGAAUUCUAAAAUCUUUGUAAAGAAAAAAAGGUUGUGCCCUUUGAUUGCAUAUCAAUCAUAAUGAAGCCAUGAUUUAAAUAAAUUUAAGAACACCCCAGUGAUAUAUCUGCCUUCAUGUAAAAAUCUGAUUUAUUUUAAGUUUGAAGUUGAAGUACAAAGGACAUAGUUUAGGUUUUUUAUGAAACUAUUUAAACAAGUGUUCUGAAACUUACAUUCAUCUCUUUUUCUUUGAUAGGGGUAUUUAUUUUACAGCUCUGCAUGACUCAUCACUCAUUUUUUAAUUAUCAUGUUCACUCUUGAACAAUGAUGGUCCUUUAUUUUCUACUUAUUGUGUAUAUAUAUUUUUUUUACUUUUGGGAUUAUUUCUUUUUUUAAAGUCAUUAGUAUUAACGAAAAGAAGUUUGAAAUGAAAUUCCAUAGACACUUGGAGGAACAACAUGAUUAAAUAUUCUUGUCUAGUUA